Molecule: ribosomal RNA, 440 nt
Filed under: uncultured bacterium
Lineage: Bacteria
Description: partial 16S ribosomal RNA
Rfam family: Bacterial small subunit ribosomal RNA
Source: RNAcentral
CCUACGGGAGGCAGCAGUGGGGAAUAUUGCACAAUGGGGGAAACCCUGAUGCAGCGACGCCGCGUGAGUGAAGAAGGCUUUCGGUUUGUAAAGCUCUAUCAGCAGGGAAGAAAAUGACGGUACCUGACUAAGAAGCACCGGCUAACUACGUGCCAGCAGCCGCGGUAUUACGUAGGGGGCAAGCGUUAGCCGGAUUUACUGGGUGUAAAGGGAGCGUAGACGGCUGAGCAAGUCUGAAGUGAAAGCCCGCGGCUCAACCGCGGGACUGCAUUUGAAACUGCCCGGCUAGAGUGCUGGAGAGGUGAGCGGAAUUCCUAGUGUAGCGGUGAAAUGCGUAGAUAUUAGGAGGAACACCAGUGGCGAAGGCGGCUUACUGGACAGUAACUGACGUUGAGGCUCGAAAGCGUGGGGAGCAAACAGGAUUAGAUACCCGAGUAGUC